This 293-nucleotide ribosomal RNA is filed under the name uncultured bacterium. RNAcentral describes it as "partial 16S ribosomal RNA". It matches the Rfam family "Archaeal small subunit ribosomal RNA", at positions 455 to 747 of the family's 1478-position model. The record is from RNAcentral.
GUGCCAGCCGCCGCGGUAAUACCGGCAGCCCAAGUGAUGGCCGCUGUUAUUGGGCCUAAAGCGUCCGUAGCUGGCCGCACAAGUCCGUCGGGAAAUCCGCCCGCUCAACGGGCGGCCGUCCGGCGGAACCUGUGUGGCUUGGAACCGGAAGGCUCAGAGAGUACGUCCGGGGUAGGAGUGAAAUCCCGUAAUCCCGGACGGACUACCGAUGGCGAAAGCACUCUGAGAAGACGGCUUCGACAGUGAGGGACGAAAGCUCGGGUCUCAAACCGGAUUAGAAACCCCGGUAGUCC